CCUACGGGGGGCUGCAGUGGGGAAUAUUGGGCAAUGGAGGCAACUCUGACCCAGCGACGCCGCGUGAAGGACGAAGGCUUUCGAGUUGUAAACUUCUUUGGGGAGGGACGAAGAUGACGGUACCUCCAGAACAAGCCACGGCUAACUACGUGCCAGCAGCCGCGGUAAUACGUAGGUGGCAAGCGUUAUCCGGAUUUACUGGGUGUAAAGGGCGCGCAGGCGGCCCUGAAGGUCAGAUGUGAAAUGUCAAGGCUUAACUUUGGCAUGUCAUCUGAAACCAUGGGGCUUGAGUAUCAGAGGGGAAAGUGGAAUUCCUAGUGGAGCGGUAAAAUGCGCAGAGAUUAGGAGGAACACCGGUGGCGAAGGCGACUUUCUGGCUGACAACUGACGCUGAGGCGCGAAAGCGUGGGGAGCAAACAGGAUUAGAUACCCCAGUAGUC
This 440-nucleotide ribosomal RNA is filed under the name uncultured Oscillospiraceae bacterium. RNAcentral describes it as "bacterial SSU rRNA". It matches the Rfam family "Bacterial small subunit ribosomal RNA", at positions 338 to 795 of the family's 1533-position model. Lineage: Bacteria; Bacillati; Bacillota; Clostridia; Eubacteriales; Oscillospiraceae. The record is from RNAcentral.